Molecule: ribosomal RNA, 253 nt
Filed under: uncultured bacterium
Lineage: Bacteria
Description: partial 16S ribosomal RNA
Rfam family: Bacterial small subunit ribosomal RNA
Source: RNAcentral
UACGUAGGGUGCACGCGUUAAUCGGAAUUACUGGGCGUAAAGCGUGCGCAGGCGGUUAUGUAAGACAGGUGGGAAAUCCCCGGGCUUAACCUGGGAACUGCAUUUGUGACUGCAUAGCUAGAGUACGGUAGAGGGGGAUGGAAUUCCGCGUGUAGCAGUGAAAUGCGUAGAUAUGCGGAGGAACACCGAUGGCGAAGGCAAUCCCCUGGGCCUGCACUGACGCUCAUGCACGAAAGCGUGGGGAGCAAACAGG